RNAcentral lists this ribosomal RNA (253 nucleotides) under uncultured bacterium. RNAcentral's name for it is "partial 16S ribosomal RNA". It matches the Rfam family "Bacterial small subunit ribosomal RNA", at positions 524 to 776 of the family's 1533-position model. The record is from RNAcentral.
UACGGGGGGGGCAAGCGUUGUUCGGAAUUACUGGGCGUAAAGGGCUCGUAGGCGGCUAACUAAGUCGGAUGUGAAAUCCCCAGGCUCAACUUGGGAACUGCAUCCGAUACUGGAUGGCUUGAAGUCGGGAGAGGGAUGCAGAAUUCCAGGUGUAGCGGUGAAAUGCGUAGAUAUCUGGAGGAAUACCGGUGGCGAAGGCGGCAUCCUGGACCGACAUUGACGCUGAGGAGCGAAGGCUAGGGGAGCAAACGGG